This is a transfer RNA of Toxocara canis (dog roundworm), 73 nucleotides long. It matches the Rfam family "tRNA". From Rfam's summary of the family: Transfer RNA (tRNA) molecules are approximately 80 nucleotides in length. Their secondary structure includes four short double-helical elements and three loops (D, anti-codon, and T loops). Lineage: Eukaryota; Metazoa; Nematoda; Chromadorea; Rhabditida; Toxocaridae. The record is from Rfam.
GGCCGCCUGGCGCAAUGGACAUCGCGUGGGUCCACGUAACCGAAGAUUGCAGGUUCGAAUCCUGCCGUGGUCG